Long non-coding RNA from Alligator sinensis (Chinese alligator), 485 nucleotides. RefSeq lists it as uncharacterized. NCBI's taxonomy places the organism in Eukaryota, Metazoa, Chordata, Crocodylia, Alligatoridae. The transcript has 4 exons. The record is from RefSeq and is a predicted model, not a curated record.
AUAUUGCCUGGCUAGAGGGUUGCUAAGAACAACCUGGAGGUUUUGCCAUGACCUUGCAGAACUCCUACCUUUCUGGCUCCAUUAGAACCUUCUUCCCUCAGAUGACAGAUCUCCCCAGACACCAGCCACUCCCUUUCCCUAUACCAGGAAAUACAGACCCCGUACCUGAUUGCAGACACAGCAGAAGCAGGCUGAAGUGUUGUCAGAGGCAAUAAAACAGCUGAAAUUGCCUCUGGAUUUUCUUAGAAAAUGCAUUAACUUCAGCUAAGUGGGGACUACAAGAAAAUCAACUGACAAGACAAGCCAUCCAACCAGUCCCACCACAGGGCUUCAAUCAAUUCAACUUCAGGCAAAGUUUUUCUUUAGAAUUCUUCCAAGCUCUGUGACCCGCCAGCAACUCCACAGAAACCAAUGGCUCCACAUCAGCAAGCAAGAGCACGAUCUGGCAUUCUUUCCUGUCAUUCAGUGCUCACCAGCACUCAGGC